GCAAGUAUAGUUUCAACCCAAACAUUAGAUUGUGAUUCUAAAAAUAGAAGUUAAACUCUUCUUACUCGCC
This is a transfer RNA of Tauraco erythrolophus (red-crested turaco), 70 nucleotides long. It matches the Rfam family "tRNA". From Rfam's summary of the family: Transfer RNA (tRNA) molecules are approximately 80 nucleotides in length. Lineage: Eukaryota; Metazoa; Chordata; Aves; Musophagiformes; Musophagidae. The record is from Rfam.